AUUGAACGCUGGCGGCAGGCCUAACACAUGCAAGUCGAACGAGUGGCGGACGGGUGAGUAAUGUCUGGGAAACUGCCUGAUGGGGGGGGAUAACUACUGGAAACGGUAGCUAAUACCGCAUACCAGCGGAUGUGCCCAGAGGGGAUUAGCUAGUAGGUGGGGUAACGGCUCACCUAGGCGACGAUCCCUAGCGGGUCUGAGAGGAUGAUCAGUCACACUGGAACUGAGACACGGCCCAGACUCCUACGGGAGGCAGCAGUGGGGAAUAUUGUACAAUGGGCGAAAGCCUGAUCCAGCCAUGCCGCGUGUGUGAAGAAGGUCUUCGGAUUGUAAAGCACUUUAAGUUGGGAGGCGUUACCAACAGAAGAAGCACCGGCUAACUUCGUGCCAGCAGCCGCGGUAAUAC
Molecule: ribosomal RNA, 406 nt
Filed under: uncultured bacterium
Lineage: Bacteria
Description: partial 16S ribosomal RNA
Rfam family: Bacterial small subunit ribosomal RNA
Source: RNAcentral